This 373-nucleotide ribosomal RNA is filed under the name uncultured organism. Its description in RNAcentral is "partial 16S ribosomal RNA". It matches the Rfam family "Bacterial small subunit ribosomal RNA", at positions 527 to 896 of the family's 1533-position model. The record is from RNAcentral.
GUAGGUGGCAAGCGUUGUCCGGAAUUAUUUGGCGUAAAGCGCGCGCAGGCGGUUCUUUAAGUCUGAUGUGAAAGCCCACGGCUCAACCGUGGAGGGUCAUUGGAAACUGGAGAACUUGAGUACAGAAGAGGAAAGCGGAAUUCCACGUGUAGCGGUGAAAUGCGUAGAGAUGUGGAGGAACACCAGUGGCGAAGGCGGCUUUCUGGUCUGUAACUGACGCUGAGGCGCGAAAGCGUGGGGAGCAAACAGGGAUUAGAUACCCUGUAGUCCACGCCGUAAACGAUGAGUGCUAAGUGUUAGGGGGUUUCCGCCCCCCUUAGUGCUGCAGCUAACGCAUUAAGCACUCCGCCCUGGGAGUACGGCCGCAAGGCUG